Molecule: long non-coding RNA, 1187 nt
Filed under: Parus major (Great Tit)
Lineage: Eukaryota; Metazoa; Chordata; Aves; Passeriformes; Paridae
Description: lncRNA (ENSPMJG00000018410.1)
Source: RNAcentral
AUGGGGGUGGGACCGCUCCCACCCGGCCAGGACGGCGCUUCCCGGGGGGCAGCCCCGACCCCCGAGCCCCCUUCUCCAUUCCUGCUGCCGCUGGAUUUUCCCGAGCCGCGUCUGCUCCGCGCUCCCAGCCCGGGGCUCUUGAACUUCAGUCCCCGGCAGCCACAGAGGUCGCUUCUGAGCUCCACGCCAAGCCUUUUCCCCAUUAUUUAUUUAUUUCUUCUCCCCCAACUCAGGCUCUCCCUCCCUCAUGGCCGGAGUGGAAAAGCACGUUUAAAUCCCGAAGCCGGCUUUCCCACGUGCUGCCUCCCCGAGCUGCUGUCACAGCCACGCCGCGCUCCCACCGGGCACCGCAGCUUCUCCCGUGCCCUGCCCGAAGAAGGCACAAGGCUCCAACUCUCUCUCCUGCUGAACUUGCCGGGAACAAAAGGCUCCGUUCCCGAUCCAGCCCGCAGUUGCCGUGAGAAACUUCCUCGCCAGCGCUGUCUGUCGCUCCGCUCUCCCUCCCUCGCUCCCUCCCUGCCUCGGGAAAAUGGCAGUGCAAGAGCUUGAUGAAAAGGGGGAAAAAACCUUCUUUCUCAGCGCCUGCCUCUCCCGCAGCACCCCCCAUCCCCAGUCAUGACGCCUGAACUCAAACUUCUCUAAAAAUACACUUUAGGAGGGUAGAUUUUCACGGGAGGGGAUGUGUUUUUUACACCCCACUGAAAAGGGGCGCCGAGCUGGGGGAAAAGGCCGAGGGACAGCUUUUUCCAGACAGGAGAACCUGCUGCUGACCCCUCCCGCACGGCAUCGCCAGGUCCCAAGGAUUUGAAACACAAUAAGUUUUCCUUCAGUGGGAAAAUCCAGGCCCAGAGUUCAGAUCUUUCUCUUUUCGCAGCUUUAAAAGCCUUUUUUUCCCCCCUUGUUUUAACUCUUCACGGUGGGGUUCGCAGCAGAAUGUAGUUGUUCUGCCAGCCCACCCGAGAGCUCCCAAAUCUGGUGGGAUUCAGGGAAAACAGACUGCUGGCUCCGGAUCCAGUGCAGGGGUUUUUGCAAACUCCGCUCCGCGUUUUGAUUUUAUUUUUUGCCCUUUUUUUUUUUUUUUUUAAGUAGAUUUACUCUUCCUUCCCCGAGCGCACCGGAGCUGCUGUCCGAGGGCAGCCGGGGUGCACCCCCGCCUACAGAAUAAACGGGGUUCGUCUUUCCCUACA